AGAGUUUGAUCCUGGCUCAGAUUGAACGCUGGCGGCAGGCCUAACACAUGCAAGUCGAACGGUAACAGGAAGCAGCUUGCUGCUUUGCUGACGAGUGGCGGACGGGUGAGUAAUGUCUGGGAAACUGCCUGAUGGAGGGGGAUAACUACUGGAAACGGUGGCUAAUACCGCAUAACGUCGCAAGACCAAAGAGGGGGACCUUCGGGCCUCUUGCCAUCAGAUGUGCCCAGAUGGGAUUAGCUAGUUGGUGAGGUAACGGCUCACCAAGGCGACGAUCCCUAGCUGGUCUGAGAGGAUGACCAGCCACACUGGAACUGAGACACGGUCCAGACUCCUACGGGAGGCAGCAGUGGGGAAUAUUGCACAAUGGGCGCAAGCCUGAUGCAGCCAUGCCGCGUGUAUGAAGAAGGCCUUCGGGUUGUAAAGUACUUUCAGCGGGGAGGAAGGUGUUGUGGUUAAUAACCACAGCAAUUGACGUUACCCGCAGAAGAAGCACCGGCUAACUCCGUGCCAGCAGCCGCGGUAAUACGGAGGGUGCAAGCGUUAAUCGGAAUUACUGGGCGUAAAGCGCACGCAGGCGGUCUGUCAAGUCGGAUGUGAAAUCCCCGGGCUCAACCUGGGAACUGCAUUCGAAACUGGCAGGCUUGAGUCUUGUAGAGGGGAGUAGAAUUCCAGGUGUAGCGGUGAAAUGCGUAGAGAUCUGGAGGAAUACCGGUGGCGAAGGCGGCCCCCUGGACAAAGACUGACGCUCAGGUGCGAAAGCGUGGGGGAGCAAACAGGAUUAGAUACCCUGGUAGUCCACGCCGUAAACGAUGUCUACUUGGAGGUUGUGCCCUUGAGGCGUGGCUUCCGGAGCUAACGCGUUAAGUAGACCGCCUGGGGAGUACGGCCGCAAGGUUAAAACUCAAAUGAAUUGACGGGGGCCCGCACAAGCGGUGGAGCAUGUGGUUUAAUUCGAUGCAACGCGAAGAACCUUACCUGGUCUUGACAUCCACAGAAGAAUCCAGAGAUGGAUUUGUGCCUUCGGGAACUGUGAGACAGGUGCUGCAUGGCUGUCGUCAGCUCGUGUUGUGAAAUGUUGGGUUAAGUCCCGCAACGAGCGCAACCCUUAUCCUUUGUUGCCAGCGAUUAGGUCGGGAACUCAAAGGAGACUGCCAGUGAUAAACUGGAGGAAGGUGGGGAUGACGUCAAGUCAUCAUGGCCCUUACGACCAGGGCUACACACGUGCUACAAUGGCGCAUACAAAGAGAAGCGACCUCGCGAGAGCAAGCGGACCUCAUAAAGUGCGUCGUAGUCCGGAUUGGAGUCUGCAACUCGACUCCAUGAAGUCGGAAUCGCUAGUAAUCGUGGAUCAGAAUGCCACGGUGAAUACGUUCCCGGGCCUUGUACACACCGCCCGUCACACCAUGGGAGUGGGUUGCAAAAGAAGUAGGUAGCUUAACCUUCGGGAGGGCGCUUACCACUUUGUGAUUCAUGACUGGGGUGAAGUCGUAACAAGGUAACC
RNAcentral lists this ribosomal RNA (1504 nucleotides) under Salmonella enterica subsp. enterica serovar Tshiongwe. RNAcentral describes it as "bacterial SSU rRNA". It matches the Rfam family "Bacterial small subunit ribosomal RNA". The record is from RNAcentral. Lineage: Bacteria; Pseudomonadati; Pseudomonadota; Gammaproteobacteria; Enterobacterales; Enterobacteriaceae.